This 403-nucleotide ribosomal RNA is filed under the name uncultured bacterium. RNAcentral describes it as "partial 16S ribosomal RNA". It matches the Rfam family "Bacterial small subunit ribosomal RNA", at positions 28 to 526 of the family's 1533-position model. The record is from RNAcentral.
GACGAACGCUGGCGGCGUGCCUAAUACAUGCAAGUCGAACGCAGUGGGGACGGGUGAGUAACACGUGGGUAACCUCCCAUCAGAGGGGAUAACACUUGGAAACAGGUGCUAAACCGAUACUGAUGGAUGGACCCGUGGUGCAUUGGCUAGUUGGUGAGGUAACGGCUCACCAAGGCCACGAUGCAUAGCAUACCUGCGAGGGUUAUCGGCCACACUGUGACUGUGAGACGGCCCAGACUCCUACGGGAGGCAGCAUUAGGGAAUCUUCGGCAAUGGACGAAAGUCUGACCGAGCAACGCCGCGUGAGUGAAGAAGGUUUUCGGAUCGUAAAACUCUGUUGUUAGAGAAGCGGUAUCUAACCAGAAAGCCACGGCUAACUACGUGCCAGCAGCCGCGGUAAUUC